Molecule: ribosomal RNA, 716 nt
Filed under: Nosema granulosis
Lineage: Eukaryota; Fungi; Microsporidia; Nosematidae
Description: partial small subunit ribosomal RNA
Rfam family: Microsporidia small subunit ribosomal RNA
Source: RNAcentral
UUGAAUAUAAAGAAAAGACGAACAGCUCAGUAACUCUUAUUUUAUUUGAUGUAUUAGGAUAAUAACUAUGUUAAAUUAUAGAUAAUAAUAAUACAAUAAGAAUAAGAUCUAUCAGUUAGUUGUUAAGGUAAUGGCUUAACAAGACUAUGACGGAUAACGGUAUUACUUUGUAAUAUUCCGGAGAAGGAGCCUGAGAGAUUGCUACUAAGUCUAAGGAUUGCAGCAGGGGCGAAACUUGACCUAUGAUAUUAUAUUGAGGCAGUUAUGAGUAGUAUUUUUAAUUAUUGUAAUAUUGUAAGUAUAUAUUACAAGAUAAAUCGGAGGGCAAAUCGAGUGCCAGCAGCCGCGGUAAUACUUGUUCCGAUAGUGUGUAUGAUGAUUGAUGCAGUUAAAAAGUCUGUAGUUUAUUUUAUAAUAAGCAUUGUGAGGUAUAUUGUAUGGUUAGGAGAGAGAUGAAAUGUGAUAACCCUAACUGGAUGAACAGAAGCGAAAGCUAUAUACUUAAAUGUAUUAUUAGAACAAGGACGUAAGCUAGAGGAUCGAAGAUGAUUAGAUACCAUUGUAGUUCUAGCAGUAAACUAUGUUAAAUCAUAGAUAUACUUUUAAUGUAUAUUUAUGUAGAGAAAUUAAGAUUAUAUUGACUCUGGGGAUAGUAUGAUCGCAAGAUUGAAAAUUAAAGAAAUUGACGGAAGAAUACCACAAGGAGUGGAUUGUGC